UGAGGAAUAUUGCGCAAUGGGGGCAACCCUGACGCAGCAACGCCGCGUGAGUGAGGAAGGUUUUCGGAUUGUAAAGCUCUGUCGAGCGGAAAGAAGUGCAUUAUGGCUAAUAUCCAUGGUGCUUGACGGUACCGCUAAAGGAAGCACCGGCUAACUCCGUGCCAGCAGCCGCGGUAAUACGGGGGGUGCAAGCGUUGUUCGGAAUCAUUGGGCGUAAAGCGCGUGUAGGCGGCUGGACAAGUCAGAUGUGAAAGCCCUGGGCUUAACCCAGGAAGUGCAUUUGAAACUGUUCGGCUAGAGUAAGGGAGAGGAAAGUGGAAUUCCUGGUGUAGAGGUGAAAUUCGUAGAUAUCAGGAGGAACACCGGUGGCGAAGGCGGCUUCCUGGACCGAUACUGACGCUGAGACGCGAAAGCGUGGGGAGCAAACA
This 428-nucleotide ribosomal RNA is filed under the name uncultured prokaryote. RNAcentral describes it as "bacterial SSU rRNA". It matches the Rfam family "Bacterial small subunit ribosomal RNA", at positions 355 to 774 of the family's 1533-position model. The record is from RNAcentral.